This 241-nucleotide ribosomal RNA is filed under the name uncultured bacterium. RNAcentral describes it as "partial 16S ribosomal RNA". It matches the Rfam family "Bacterial small subunit ribosomal RNA", at positions 524 to 757 of the family's 1533-position model. The record is from RNAcentral.
UACGUAGGGGGCAAGCGUUGUCCGGAAUCAUUGGGCGUAAAGCGCGUGUAGGCGGUCCGGUAAGUCGGCUGUGAAAGCCCCGGGCUUAACCCUGGAAUGGCAUUUGGGACUGCAAGGCUUGAGUGCGGCAGAGGAGACUGGAAUUCCUGGUGUAGCAGUGAAAUGCGUAGAUAUCGAGGAGGAAUACCGAUGGAGCGGAACGGCAGGUCUCUGGGACUGACACUGGACGCUCAUGCACGAA